AGUGGAUGGGGAGCAACCUAGUUGUGCGUGUGUAAAGGUAGUGCCAAGAAAAGCGGUGAUCAUGAUGAAAAUCAAUUCCCGGUACCCGAAACCGACACAGGUGGGCAAGUAGAGAAUACUAAGGGGCGCGAGGUAACUCUCUCCAAGGAACUCGGCAAAAUGACCCCGUAACUUAGGGAGAAGGGGUGCCACCGAGAGGUGGUCGCAGUGAAGAGGCCCAGGCGACUGUUUAGCAAAAACAUAGGUCUCUGCAAACUCGAAAGAGGAGGUAUAGGGGCUGACGCCUGCCCAGUGCCGGAAGGUUAAAGAAAUUGGUCAGUCUUAGGAUAAAGCUAGCGACUGAAGCCCCGGUGAACGGCGGCCGUAACUAUAACGGUCCUAAGGUAGCGAAAUUCCUUGUCGGGUAAGUUCCGACCCGCGCGAAAGGCGUAACGAUCUGGGCGCUGUCUCGGAGAGAGGCUCGGCGAAAUAGGAUUGUCUGUGAAGAUACGGACUACCUGCAUUUGGACAGAAAGACCCUAUGAAGCUUUACUAUAGCUUGGAAUUGUGCUCGGGCUUCCUGUGCGCAGGAUAGGUGGGAGGCGAAGAAGGUAUUCUUGUGGGGAUACUGGAGCCAACGGUGAGAUACCACUCUCAGGAGGCUAGAAUUCUAACUUAAUUAAGGACAGUUUCAGGUGGGUAGUUUGACUGGGGCGGUCGCCUCCAAAAAGGUAACGGAGGCGUACAAAGGUUCUCUCAGACUGGUUGGAAAUCAGUCGCAGAGUGCAAAGGCAGAAGGGAGCUUGACUGCGAGAAGUACAGUUCGAGCAGGGUGGAAACACGGUCUUAGUGAUCCGACGGUGCUGUGUGGAAGGGCCGUCGCUCAACGGAUAAAAGUUACUCUAGGAUAACAGGCUGAUCUCCCCCAAGAGUUCACAUCGACGGGGAGGUUUGGCACCUCGAUGUCGGCUCAUCGCAACCUGGGGCGGAAGUACGUCCCAAGGGUUGGGCUGUUCGCCCAUUAAAGCGGUACGUGAGCUGGGUUCAGAACGUCGUGAGACAGUUCGGUCCAUAUCCGAUGUAGGCGUGAGAAUAUUGAGAGGAGCCUUCCUUAGUACGAGAGGACCGGGAAGGACGCACCGCUGGUGUACCUGUUAUGAUGCCAAUUGUAAACGCAGGGUAGCCAAGUGCGGAGAGGAUAACCGCUGAAAGCAUCUAAGUGGGAAGCCCACCUCAAGGUGAGUAUUCUGGUGUAAGGUCACGGGAAGACGACCCGUAAAUAGGCACGAGGUGGAAGUGCAGAGAUGUAUGAAGCCGAAGUGUACUAAUAGACCGUCGGCUUGACCA
Molecule: ribosomal RNA, 1326 nt
Filed under: metagenome
Description: bacterial LSU rRNA
Rfam family: Bacterial large subunit ribosomal RNA
Source: RNAcentral